RNAcentral lists this transfer-messenger RNA (355 nucleotides) under Nitratireductor arenosus. Its description in RNAcentral is "Nitratireductor sp. CAU 1489 transfer-messenger RNA". It matches the Rfam family "Alphaproteobacteria transfer-messenger RNA". Rfam says of the family: Bacterial tmRNA, also known as 10Sa RNA or SsrA, is named for its dual tRNA and mRNA-like properties. Lineage: Bacteria; Pseudomonadati; Pseudomonadota; Alphaproteobacteria; Hyphomicrobiales; Phyllobacteriaceae. The record is from RNAcentral.
GGUCUUUUCAUUUGCCGUCGGCAUGCCUAUAUUCGUCCCGUCAGCUUGUCUGACUAUGGCGAUAAACUGCCGAUGUAAUAAGCCGUUCGGACCCGGGGGCGGUACCCGGCGCCUCCACCAUGAACUGCCCGCCUGGCGGUUUUUGAUGGGGGCGAAAUAGGAUCGACGAAGGUGUAAAGAUCGGACUUUUGCCCGGCAUUGUACCACCGUUAUCGGGCUAAACUUGUAGUUGCAAACGACAACUAUGCGGAAGCACGUCUCGCUGCGUAAUGCGGCUCGACAGCUUCAAUUCAAGUCCUAGCGGUUCGCACCUCUAGGCGGGGUUCGGAGGCACCUGGCAACAGAAGCCUCCACU